UACGUAGGUGGCGAGCGUUGUCCGGAAUCACUGGGCGUAAAGGGCGCGUAGGCGGCAAUACAAGUCGCAUGUGAAAUUCCAGGGCUCAACCCUGGGGGGUCAUGCGAAACUGUAUGGCUUGAGUGCAGUAGAGGUAAGCGGAAUUCCUGGUGUAGCGGUAAAAUGCGUAGAGAUCAGGAGGAACACCGGUGGCGAAGGCGGCUUACUGGGCUGCAACUGACGCUGAGGCGCGAAAGCGUGGGGAGCAAACAGG
Molecule: ribosomal RNA, 253 nt
Filed under: uncultured bacterium
Lineage: Bacteria
Description: partial 16S ribosomal RNA
Rfam family: Bacterial small subunit ribosomal RNA
Source: RNAcentral